Long non-coding RNA from Triticum dicoccoides, 3476 nucleotides. RefSeq lists it as uncharacterized. Lineage: Eukaryota; Viridiplantae; Streptophyta; Magnoliopsida; Poales; Poaceae. The record is from RefSeq and is a predicted model, not a curated record. The transcript has 4 exons.
AAUAAAGCACGGAGUGCUUCUGGUCGUACGUCGUCGGCGUUUUUGCGAAAAAGCCCCUCUGUUUCUUUGAAAUUAACCCGCAGUCCAAAAAUAAAUGAGAAAAAACGAUUCGAUGUAACUACCAAACGAAUCCUCCGCCUCCUCCCCUGCUCUCGCCAUCGCCCGCAGAGCUCCACCCAAUCCCUCGCUCGCUCGGUGAGAUCCAAGGCGGCCGCGUCGGCUGGGAGCGGACCCACGCGGGAGGAGGAGUUCGGCGAGCAUGAGCUGGAGGUGGCAGCCAUUCUCGCGGACCUGUCGUCCAUCGUGCGGGCCAGCAGUAGGAGCAGGCGCGGCCGGAGAUCCCCUCGUGGAGCCGGCGCCGGCCGAGGAAGGCCCUAGCGGCUCCGCCGGCCAAGAAGCCCGCGGCCGAUAGCCCGGGCACCCUGCUCGCCUUCCUCGACGACGACGAGGCGGCGGCAGCGCAUGACAAGUCGGCGCAGGAGCAGCGCGGCGAUUUUGACGAGUAGGAGAUGGAGCGCGUCACAAGCACCUUGGCUGCACCCUGAGGUUAUCCAUCAGGCAAACUGUCAUCGCACUGUCGUUCACGAUGCUGCUCCCAAGCCUCCCGACGAGAUUGUGCGAGUUGCAACUUACAUGACGCAUAUUCUUUUGCUAUACUUCGGAAGCUGGCAAUAGCAGCGGCAACGUCGACGCAGCCACGGGCUGGACAAAACUUGAUUAGCUUAUUACUGCAUCAAUAAUUUGUGCCUGUAGGACUCUUUCACAAAUCAUGUCAACGAGACUAGCAAUUUGAAGAGGCUGCUGCACAUGAUAUGAAGAUAUUGGCAUAUACAGUCCCAAACAUAAGUUUCAAAAUAGCAGGUGUGGAGUUUAGCCCUGUUCCGCUGUAUGGAAAGCCAUGACCUCCACAUAGAUGAUGCAAGAGGAAACAAGCUAGACUCACAACUUUGGUUUUCAGGCAUCUUCACCAACAAAUAUUACCCUGGUACUGACAGGUUGUUAGUAUUAUAUAAGUAUACUUGUUCAGCCUUUCCAUGUGCUGGUCUGAAUAUCUAAACAAGGAAGCAGGCUCAGUUGCUCACCAACCUACUAUUGCUGCCAACAAGUAGCCAGAAGCCCAUAGAAGACAUUUGCAUUGAUCACAGAAAAAUGAAGAUCACAGAAAAAUGAAGUAUAGAAUUUGUAGGACAUUGUCAUCCUAAUCUGGUUCCCACAUAUUCAAGAUGUGGAGAUUAGAUAUUUGCUCCAACAAAGCCAUGACCUUCAAUUUUGUUGUUAAUUUAACAGCUGUUUUGAUUGUGCCGAUCGAUCGGCUUAUAAGAGCCAAUUUGGUUUCUUGUGAACUAGAGCAUCCUAUUUUUCAUGAUUAUAUUAAGAGCUUCCUGUUUUUCAUGAUUAUAUUAAGAACUCACAGAUCUCCUUCACAGCCACACCUAACCUGCACAUCAUCUAGAUUCAAGAGAGCCCUACUACUGCAUCCACCCUAAAAUCAAUGUAAAAACAAGGGAAGUUCUAACCCGAUAUCUCCGUCUCCUGUGAACAAAUUUUAAGCCCGAUUGAUGGCAAGUGCAUUGCAUGUGUAAGUAAUCUGGGUUGAACGUACUUGAGGUCUUCCAUCACUUUUAUUACUUGAAUAGAAAUAGUGCACAUUGCACAAACUACCCAUUAAUGGGCAACUGAUAUAUAUGAUGCUUGGUUCAUAAUAGCUACUUCAGGUUAUCCCUUCUGCUAUAUUUUUCGUACUCCCUACUUUUGUGAGAUCUGAACUGGUAGAGAAAACAGACCGGGAUAUUCGGUUCCUACCUAGAGAUGUAGUGAGGACUUACUGUAUUGAUUAGUCAUUUGAAGAGUUAACUAGAAAGCAUUUAGUAUGUCUUCAGUUAUGUUGUCGUGGGCUGUGCACACGAUUCACAGACAAAAAAACAGCACCGUGCAUUGUUUUUUUACAUGCAUGCAGCAUGUGCAACAAAUUUUCUACUAUGGACUAAAAACAAUCACCAACUAGCUGAAUCAACGGACACUCUAUGGGAAGAAGAACAAGCAUACUAAAUAACGCGAAGCAGAGUAAUUCCAAGAUAUUUUGAGAAUUCAUUGCAGUGGACUGUGUUGUGAUUCGAUUUUUCUUAACCUUGAUAAUAUUGUCUUGGAUUUGAAAUGAUGGUAUACAUUUAUUCUUCUUCUUUUGAAUAAAUGUGAAGACCAAACUUAGAAAAUUGUACCGGUUGUGAUUUCAAUCAAGUUUGAGGCUUCUGUCAAAUAUAAUUAUGUUCCCUGCUGAUUAUAAUUUUGUUCACGUAGAUGCAUGAAGUUUCUUGUUCGUUUUAUUUGGAAAUAAUCUUGAUUUAUUCUACCGUCUUGAUCGUAAAGCGACAUUUUUCUCCUGACACUGUUCGCUGGUCACUGUGGUGAACCGAACAGCAAAUCAAGGACUUUAGAGCCUGGUCGCAGACCUCACGGAGCACCAACGAUAGCCUCAAGGUGAUUCAGCAGAGCAAGGUGAUGAGUACUCAGCUGGCUGGCCAAUAUCAAUGAUCUUAUCGGCCGGCAAAGCGGAGACGGACGACCACGGUCCCGACCUUGCCAGCAGGCGGAGACAAUAAAUGGGAUCAAGGGAAGUUGGUCGGGCUCCAGCGGCACAUGCUUACCACUGCUGACUGUUGCCGGGAAAGGUAUGUUGGUUUGAUUCUUUCAAGAUCCCAAACUAAAACAAGUCACCUGUGACAUUUGAAUGAUGCAAAGGUUUGUUGUCUCUUCCCAAGAAAUUGUGUGCAGAGAAGCUGCCUUGAUUUUACAUGCUGAACCUAUUUUUGCAUAAUCAAACACUGACGAUCAGAGAGAUGAAUGUGCAGUAUGCUAAAUUUGGGUAUCCAAUUGCAAAAGAAUUGGAUUAUUAUUUACAUUAGAAGCCAGGUUAUCACUAUGUAUUUUAAAUUGAUCGCUCAUGGACCGCUCAAUUGGCCAUAAACACAACAUAAUUCGAUCCCUCCCUUCAAAUUGGCAACUAAAGGGAAGGUGAGUUAAAAUGUCUCAGCCCCUGUGACCUGGCUGGUUAUGUUUAUAUUACAUCCAAUAUUAUGUGUACUCAUUUGAUCUAAGGUUAUUUUUAAUAACUUGUUUUUUUUGUCACGAACAAAUCGAUGAACCGGCGGUCCAACCGGUGACAGACGCAACGGUUCAGUUGCCCGUUCGGUUUUAAAAAAUAUAGUCCGAUGGCCAUGGUGGAAGAACACAACAUGAAGUGCUUUGUAUCCCGAGAACGACGAGGAGACAUGAGCAGCCGGUGGCAGUGCUUCGCACUUCGAGCAGUAGGGAUACUUGAUCAUAGGGAAAGGGAAGGGAGAUGAGUUCGUGCUUGCAUGAUUUUUAGGGAAAGAGCGUGUGUAUUGUACUUCUGUGUGCAUGAAGUGUUUUGUUUGGGCCAAGCCCAAAUAAUGAAAAUAAAACACUAUCUCUAAAACUAUUCAAAUCCUUUUGCA